CUGAUGAAUCUAGUCCAAUGAAACAAAGAGAUGUUGUUCGAAAGAAACCUUGAGAAGUUGAGUGAGUUCAUGGCCAUAAGGCGGGACUUAUAAACAAAUGUACCAUCCAAUAGCAUUGUGAGACUGAACAAUAGGACCCAAUGACUAUGUAAAUGUGGUAAAACAUAAGAUAAAAUAUAACAGAUUGUUUUUUAGAAUGGCUAAAGGUAACGUUGUAAUUUUACAGGGUUAAGGCGAAUCUCAAUCUCAAUACUUGCAGCUUGGUGGCUGAAAGAAAUGGGGAGCUGAUUGUAUGUUAACACGGACUAUUUUUUCUCAGUACUGCGCAGGUGCGAGAGGGAUAAACCCAAUAGCGAUAGCUCUCAGAGGGCUGCGCCUAUACGAAAUAGAACUGAUUUAUAAGCAAAAUGGUCGUAUGUUUUUACUUAUAAACAUUAGUUUUGAUUGAAGUUGAAGAAAUAUGUUCUCUCAUAUUUUUUUUUCAAUUGCAACCUGUUCUGUUUCCAUCUCAAAAAUGUUUGGAUUGCCCCUUACUCUUUUUUGCUCUCAAAUCUCGAUGCUGGUGGGGGGGGCUUACAGAGCAGCAGCAGCAAUACAGAUACAGGGCAACAGUGGCAUUGACAGAGCAGAGGGAGAGCUGGGAAAUGUUGCAGUUUAAAUAGACUCAGAUUGGAAGGGAGCGCUUGGUUAGUGAUUAUGGAAUAAGGCAUGCCGUGUGUAUAUCAGCGCUUUCGUUUCCGUAUGCGCGGUGCAUCAUGGGUACACUAGAGUAGUUCAGUAGUCAUCAUGGCGGCAGUCCGAUCGUACAGCGUUUACAUCCUUCUGUAUUUCUUUUGUUUCCUGGCUGCACAAGGGCAACAAGUGAUAUCAGUGAAUCCUGGAGGUGAUGUCACUCUGCCAUGUUCAGCUGGUGAUGACUCCAUCAGAGCUGUAGAGUGGACCAGAACUGACCUGGAGCCAGAGUACGUCCUCUUUUACAGAAACAGACGCUCAGAUCCAACCUACCAACAUCCAUCCUUUAAGGGUCGGGUGGAUCUGACAGACAGAGAGAUGAAGGAUGGAGACGUGUCUUUAGUUCUAAAGAACGUGACCAUCAGUGACAACGGAACAUACGAGUGUCGAGUUGCUACAGGUGGUUCAGACAACACAGACAUCACUGACAUGAAGACAAUCAGAACCAUCCAACUGGAGGUCACAGCCUCAGGUUCCAACAGCAAAAACACCAUGGAUGGAGACUACAAAGACACAACCAACAUGGAUGGAGACUACAAAGACACAACCAACAGGGCUGGAAACACACACAUUGGACUGACAGUUGGACUGAUAGCUUUCGGUCUGAUUUGUUCAGCUGUUGUUGGAAUGGUUCUCUGGAAUAAAAAGAGACACAGACAGUAACUCAGAACCAGCUGCUGAUGAAGCAGUGGGUGAUCAGCUCCUCUGAACCUCUACAGACCUCUUUAUACCAAAGUCAUGUUGAACACUUUCUGUGGGCCAUUUGUAAAUCUGCUGUUUGAGGCUCUCCAUCAUCAUGGACUGCAUGGUUCACUGGUUACCUGUAGCAGAGUGAGUAGGGGGGCAGAGCCACACCCACGGUUCUCCAGAGACCCACCAUUGGCCCAGUCCAUCUGACUGAAGAUGCAUAUCAGCUCCAGUGGGGCACUGUGGCCCGUUUGUAUUGUCGCUGUAUUGUCGUCAGCCAGGGCUCCUAACUCUGAUCUAAUGUUGAGUGAGAACAUCAACCCCUGUAUCUGACAGAGUGCUGCUGUUAGCUCUGCAGACAAACAGGUGAAGAUGUUAGCUGGGAGCUAGCUCUGUGCAGGUAGCUGAAAGCAACCGUGAUGAUGAUGAUGAUGAUGAUGAUGAUGAUGAUAGUUUAUUGUGUCCAACCGUGUUCGACUGUUUGCACAUUUCAAUUAAAUUAAAUUCAAUUCAAUUUUAUUUGUAUAGCGCCAAUUCAUAACAGAAGUUAUCUCAGGACACUUUUCAAAUAGAGCAGGUCUAGACCGAACUCUUUAAAACAUUAAUUACAGAGACCCAACAGUACCACCAUGAGCAAGACCUUGGAGACAAGGGCAAGGAAAAACUGCCUGUUAAAAGGCAGAAACCUAGGACAGAUCCUCCGGCUCUAGGUGGGUGGGAGAGAGAGAGAGAGAGACAGACAGAUAGACUGACAGGUGCACAGCAACAACAGUAUUGGCAAUGGCAAUCUAGCAGGACCAUGGCAGGAGGCUCCACCAGGAUCCAUGAGAACCUGCAAGACGAGAAAGCACAAGAACUCCGGGGAAGAAGUGAAGUUAGUAACAUGCAUUAAUGGGACAUGAAUGAGUGCAGAAAGAGAGAGGAAGAGAGGAGCUCAGUGCACCAUGGGAAAUCCCCCCGAUAGUCUAGGCCUAUAGCAGCAUAACUAAGGGAUGGUUCAGGACUCACCUGAUCCAGCCCUAACUAUAAGCUUUAUCAAAGAGGAAUGUCUUAAGCCUACUCUUGAAUGUGGUGAUGGUGUCUGCCUCCCGAACCACAAAUUUCAUACAGGCUGCAGUGGAUUCACAUCAUUUUGACUCGAUUACAUUCAAACUGACUGCUGCUGGAUGAAAACUUCCUGGUCAGCUGUUUAAUAUCCAUUAUUCAUGAUCAACGCCAUGAAGACAAGUACCUGUCUCACACACCGGCUGCCCUGUCUCUCUCUCCAUGUACAGACUGUGUGUCUGUCUGUUAAACAUCCACCAGAUAACAUCUCUCUCUCUGUUGCUCUGCAAAAUGCUGAAAGAACAAACCUUCCUCUGGACUGAAAUCUAAAUCUAAAAUUCUGCCUAAUUAGAACUAAUUAGAGUGAAUAUCAGCGAUUAGGCACCCUUAAUGCGUGGUGAUGUUAGCAGUUCAGUGUCUAACUGAUUUGGUGGAAGGUGGUACUGUACUUAUGUUAUUGCAGUGUACUGUAAGUGUUACAGUGGCUUUUCCUCUCUGCAACCGUAGGUCCCCCAGCACACAAUCAAGCACAACAGGUUGAUUAAUGAACAAAAAUGUAUUAUUUUCUAAGCCGCACACACUAUCAACACAUAUACUUAGUUUCCUUGCUGUUUCCAGAGCUUCUUUAGCCCCUUUCCAAAGUCCACAAUGAUCAACUCCAGAAGUCCUCUGGUCCAGCACACUACGCAGUGUCGCAGCAGAUUUGAUCUCAGUUAGCAGGUGGAACUCCUUCCUCCUGCUAAUUGCACUUCUCAUUUUCAAAAUAUUUCAAUAUGUACACUGUUUUGCCAGUGAUGUAAAAACAGGAGCCUCAACUUUCCUAAAUGCACAUAUUCUGUCACAUAAAGAGAGUGCACAUUGUGUUUACCAAGAGAAAAACAAGAAGCUGUUAACAUCAGUGCCUUUAUUUCAUUUCAUUUAUAAAGUAUUUAUACAUGUAUUACUGUUAAAUGCAUUCCUCAACUCUCAUUUGUAAAGUAUUUAACGAAUCACAUUGUGAUUUAAAACAUGUUUAUCUCUUCAAAAUGGUCGCUUUACCUGUUCAAGACAAUGUGACGUGAUGCAGAAACAGGUUCAUUCAUAUAUGCCCAAUUUUCUGUUUUCACUGUGAACUGGGUCUUAAUGUUUAUUAUUUAAAAAAGUGUCUCCCCAGAAAAAUUACUACUAAAGUUGUUUUACACAGCUCUUCCACCUUUCUCCCCAUUGUGAGCUGUUACCAAUCCAAUACCUUGAUAAAGUGUUACCAACAACAGUAUGUUUGUGAUCCUUUGAAACUUUUGUAUAAAGUGUAUUUUCAUAGAAAAAUAAACACUUAUUGUUACAUUUGGA
This is an RNA transcript of Dicentrarchus labrax (European seabass), 3792 nucleotides long. It is a transcript of the gene named butyrophilin subfamily 2 member A2-like, with no coding region annotated. The transcript has 4 exons. Lineage: Eukaryota; Metazoa; Chordata; Actinopteri; Moronidae. The record is from RefSeq and is a predicted model, not a curated record.